This 243-nucleotide ribosomal RNA is filed under the name uncultured bacterium. RNAcentral's name for it is "partial 16S ribosomal RNA". It matches the Rfam family "Bacterial small subunit ribosomal RNA", at positions 57 to 305 of the family's 1533-position model. The record is from RNAcentral.
GCAAGUCGAGCGCGAAAGCACUUCGGUGUGAGUAGAGCGGCGGACGGGGGAGUAACGCGUAGGAAGCUACCUAGUAGUGUGGGACGACGCGGGGAAACUCGAGCUAAUACCGCAUAAGCCCUACGGGGGAAAGCGGGGGACCUUCGGGCCUCGUGCUUUUAGAUGAGCCUGCGUUGGAUUAGCUAGUUGGUGGGGUAAAGGCCUACCAAGGCGACGAUCCAUAGCUGGUCUGAGAGGAUGAUC